GGGGGUGUAGCUCAGUGGUUGAGUGUAUGCUUAGCAUGCACGACGUCCUGGAUUCAAUCUCCAGUACCUCCA
This is a transfer RNA of Camelus ferus (Wild Bactrian camel), 72 nucleotides long. It matches the Rfam family "tRNA". From Rfam's summary of the family: Transfer RNA (tRNA) molecules are approximately 80 nucleotides in length. Their secondary structure includes four short double-helical elements and three loops (D, anti-codon, and T loops). The record is from Rfam. NCBI's taxonomy places the organism in Eukaryota, Metazoa, Chordata, Mammalia, Artiodactyla, Camelidae.